GAAAUGCGAUAAGUAAUGUGAAUUGCAGAAUUCAGUGAAUCAUCGAAUCUUUGAACGCACAUUGCGCCCCCUGGUAUUCCGGGGGGCAUGCCUGUUCGAGCGUCAUUUCACCACUCAAGCCUCGCUUGGUAUGGGGCAACGCGGUCCGCCGCGUGCCUCAAAUCGACCGGCUGGGUCUUCUGUCCCCUAAGCGUUGUGGAAACUAUUCGCUAAAGGGUGCUCGGGAGGCUACGCCGUAAAACAACCCCAUUUCUAAGGUUGACCUCGGAUCAGGUAGGGAUACCCGCUGAACUUAAGC
This 298-nucleotide unclassified non-coding RNA is filed under the name plant metagenome. RNAcentral describes it as "partial contains 5.8S ribosomal RNA, internal transcribed spacer 2, and large subunit ribosomal RNA". The stretch from base 1 to 105 matches the Rfam family "5.8S ribosomal RNA", at positions 50 to 154 of the family's 154-position model. The record is from RNAcentral.